This 469-nucleotide ribosomal RNA is filed under the name uncultured bacterium. Its description in RNAcentral is "bacterial SSU rRNA". It matches the Rfam family "Bacterial small subunit ribosomal RNA", at positions 29 to 507 of the family's 1533-position model. The record is from RNAcentral.
AUUGAACGCUGGCGGCAGGCCUAACACAUGCAAGUCGAACGGUAACAGGAAGCAGCUUGCUGUUUUGCUGACGAGUGGCGGACGGGUGAGUAAUGUCUGGGAAACUGCCUGAUGGAGGGGGAUAACAGUUGGAAACGACUGCUAAUACCGCAUAAGCCCACGGGUCGGCAUCGACCAGAGGGAAAAGGAGCGAUCCGCUUUGAGAUGGCCUCGCGUCCGAUUAGCUAGUUGGUGAGGUAACGGCCCACCAAGGCGACGAUCGGUAGCCGGACUGAGAGGUUGAACGGCCACAUUGGGACUGAGACACGGCCCAGACUCCUACGGGAGGCAGCAGUGGGGAAUAUUGCACAAUGGGGGAAACCCUGAUGCAGCGACGCCGCGUGGAGGAAGAAGGUCUUCGGAUUGUAAACUCCUGUUGUUGAGGAAGAUAAUGACGGUACUCAACAAGGAAGUGACGGCUAACUACGUG